Homo sapiens (human) is the source of this 2227-nucleotide long non-coding RNA. Ensembl annotates it as long intergenic non-protein coding RNA 3062. The record is from Ensembl. Lineage: Eukaryota; Metazoa; Chordata; Mammalia; Primates; Hominidae.
AUUCAAAGAGCAGCUGCUGGUCUCCGCCCCUCUGUCUUUCCUUUCUCCUCCCGGUGGCUUCCCUGUUCCUGUCCCUGGCUUUCCUGGCUUUUUGGAUCCCCAUCCUGGCUCUGGGGGGAAGGAGGAUGGGUCUGGAGCACCUGUGAGACCCGAGCCUGGGCCCACCACAGCAGAGGAUGCAGCCUCCCAACCCCAAGAGUCCCAGAUUGGAGUCCCUGAGAGAAGCUGGGCCCCGUUUAACCGGACAGAGGAUGACUUUCUUCUCUGGAGUGCUCUGGGUCACGCUUGGGGACACAUGAAGGAUACGCCCUCCCUUUCAGGCUCCCAUCGCACGUUGAACCUGGCUUGUGAACACAGCCCUCUGGGACACUACUAGGAACAAAGUGUUCCGGAUGCUGCAGAAGCUCAGCUGCCACCUGGAAAACCUGUUUGGCCACUUUAGGUCCAGAUGACGGGAGCCAGUCCGGCUCAGGAGAACAGAGCUGGCCCAGUAACACCUCGCUUCCUCCCUGCUGCAGAGACCUGGGAGGGCCCUGCCCAGCACAGCACACUGGAGUGGCCCUGCGGCAGCAUCUGGGCUGCUGUACCCAUGGUGCCUCCCAGCCCGAGGGGCUCCCGGCAGCUCUGGAGACUCCUGCUGUCACGUCACCUGGCCCCUCACCAUCACCAUCCUCAUCUCUCUUGGGAAUUAAGACAUUGAAGGAACUGCUGCUGCCAGCAAGAGAGGCUGUUGCAAGAAAGAAAGGCUGCUGCAAGAAACGCAAGAAAGGCUGCUGCCAGCAUUGCAUUUCUGUCAAGAAGCUGCCCCGCAAAAUUUAUGGAUGUAUCGCUGUAUGCACCUAAUAGCAAGCUCUACUGGAUGAAUGGCUUAUAAAGAUCUCCCCUGAAUAAAAUUGUGGUUUUUAACUUUAGAAGAACAAUGUCAAUUCUCUCUGCAUCCUUUAUGGGAGCCUCAGCAUGUGUUCAGCACUGGUAUUUAUUCUAUAUGACUGCUUGUUAAGCAACAGGCUGAAUUAAAAUGGGAAAGCUCACCGAGGAGUUUUCUUGAAAUACUGCUUUUCUAGCAAGGAGAACAUAGAAGAUGGUGAGGCAGCCGCAGCUGGAGUGCUGACUGCCCAGAAGCAGAGGGGCAAAAUGCACUCCAGUAUGGAUUUUGGUCAUUGAGGCCUUGCUGAGAGCAUGCCCCAGGCUGGGUUCACUUUUGCCUGAAGGGGCUGCAGCAGAAUGAAAACUCAACUGUGCAAAACAAAACACUCAAAUUUUAAAAAGCACAAGAUUCUGCUGGGAUCAUCUGGCAGCAGGGGCAGCAGGAAAGACGUAAUAGAGAUUUCAAAGCAGGCUGAGGAGGAGGACAGGGCAUUCCAGCCUCUGUGGUUCAGCAAUCUCACCACUCCACAACCGACGGUGGCUUUCCAGCACAGAUCUUCACGGAUUGCAGCAUUCAGGACCUGAGUCCAUGCCCAUGCAGAGGCCCAUUGCAGUGUUUGCUUAGCAUAGCUGCAUUUCCAGAAUGUAGGCAGGAGAAGCUGUAAAAGAUUCUCACCCUGCCAUGCACACUGAUGGCUCACAUUCUAAAGAGUCAGGAGUCAUUUUGGAUUUGGGCUGACCUGGUAGACUUCUGAAAGACAGUGCUCUGGGUUCAAGUUGUCCUCAGGGCUGGAUGAUCCAUAGCAAAUAUCCCCUGAUGGAUAAGCAUUGUGCUGAGAGACUUGCCUCCAUCAGCUGUGUAAACCUCAGGAUGACCUGCACACAGGUAUACUAAGGCACACAGAGACCAGCUCGUAGUCAGUGACAAGUAACUUGCCAAGAGCUGUGGUUUAAAAGCAUGUCUGCAAAUUCUUGGACACUCUUGUCAUCCAGAAAUAGAGUCUAACCCUCCUCCCUUGAAUACGGGCUGGCUUCAGUGGUGGAAAUGACAAUGUGUGAGUUUGAGGUUUGAUUAGAAAAGAUGACACAGCCUCUGCCUGACUCUCAAGGCCCUUGUUCUUGGACAUUAGCUGCCAUGCUGGGAGGAAGCCCAGCAGCCACACAGAGAGGCCACGACAGCCGAGGUCCCAGCCAAGCCAGCAUCAACUGCCCAACACGUCAAUGAGUGAUCCUGCAGAGCCUCCCAUCUCCUAGCCACCGCAGCUGAUGCUCUGAGAGCGGAGGCAAGCUGUCCUUGCUGGGCGCUGCUUAAACUGCAGAUGUAUGAACAAAAUAAAAAUGGUGGUUAUUUUAAGACACU